RNAcentral lists this long non-coding RNA (2072 nucleotides) under Homo sapiens (human). Its description in RNAcentral is "HSALNT0159089". Lineage: Eukaryota; Metazoa; Chordata; Mammalia; Primates; Hominidae. The record is from RNAcentral.
CUUCAACUCUUUGUAGCUGGUGUUGGAAAUCAGCUCCAGGUGGCGGCCCUUCUUACGCGCCUGCCGCAAGGACCUCUUGACCUUCUUCACUCGCUCCCGGAGCUGCCGGUUGCGCUUCUCCAGGGUGGCCACUUUCUGCUGCAGUUUCUUGACGUGGUCCUCCUCCUCAAACAAGGCCUUCUGCACCGAGGAGCACAUGAGCUGGAGGCAGAGACAGCGUGCAAGGAGAGGAGGGCUGCACUUAGCCUCCAGAGUUGUCUCUUCAACAAGACAGGUCUGAUCAUCUCAGUAACCUUCUUCUGGGACUCCUGUUAGACGUGUAUAUUUAAUACCAUUGGCUAAGUCGUAACAAUCAUCCAAGUCAACCGACCUCCCAGCCUGCCCACAUUGCCUCCCUGUAGGAAGUGAUUUUGCACACAGAAGCCCCUGGUGGGGUAGGGUGGAGUGUGAAGUAUCUGUUCUUGGACCACAGUUCCAUCCCUGGAGCAGCAAUUGUGAAGCAUCGUUCUCCUGUUCCAGCAUCUCUCCAAAGACGCUCAGGUCUCCGUCACAGGAUCACCAUUGAAAAAGGUGUCUGUCCCUCUGACACAUACCCAGGGGAGGAAAGAGCAAGCUUUGGAGGCACCUGGUUGACUUCACCUGGAGGGUCCAAGAAGACAUUCACCAUCCAUUCUCUCUGACGCCUGCUACCUGGAGGCUUCAUCUACGUGACAAGAACCUUGGCUUCCACAACCCCCUUCUCUAAACACAAGCGUUUUUUAAUGCUGAAUUCAAUUCUUCAGGCAGAGCUUAACUCUUUCAACCAACUGCCAAUCAGGAAAUGUUUGAAUCUGCCUCUGACCUGGAAGCCCCUGCUUUGAGAUGUCCUGCUUUCCUGGGCCGAAUCAAUGUAUUCAUUUCAUCUAUUGAUUUAUGUCUUUGCCUGCAAUGUCUGUCUCCUUAAAAUGUAUAAACCAAGCUGUAAACCACCCACUUUGGGCACAUGUUCUCAAGACUUCCUGGGGCCAUAUAAUGGGCCAUGGUUCUUAACUUAGGCAAAAUAAACCUAUAAAUUGAUUGAAACCUGUCUCAGACACUUUCCAGUUUAGAAAUAUAAUACAGACUCAUAACUUUUCCUACCUAUGUUUACUAGUAAAAUAAGCUCAUGUUACCUCUGUAGUACAAAAUUUGUUAGCAAGAAAAAUAACUUAAGGUGACGGAUACUUAAUGUCUCAUUGUCAUGAGCAAUCCAAGUAUAAUUGUUAAGAACAAUGAAUUAGAUGUAGGAAAAAUAUUCCCAUGGGAAAGGGGUCUUCCCUAUACUAGAAGGUUUUAAUAUUCUUACCAAGGAUGGAAGUUCAGGCUGAGGAAAAUGUGUACAAACAACAAUUUCAUUCUCAGGCCUAGCCAAAAAUUCUAAUAAGGAUAGAGAUACAACUUUCCCUCCCCUAUAGCUUUUUAUUAGAGACUAAAGAUAGCUGAAUCUGUUAGUAAACAUGUUCUGUGUCACAAUGAAAAAAAUUAUUCUAUGAGGAAGCACAUGCUUCUAGAAAUUAUGAUUCAUAAAUUUGUCAAUCUACAGACAGCUAGUGUAAUAGGGUUCACAACUGCUUGCUUCCUUUCACUGGAAAUUAAGAUGAUUUAGUAUAUAACUAAAAUUACCAGAAAUAAUACGGGAAACAACUCUAUAUGCAAGCAUACAAAAUAAGUAAGAUGAAUUUUCAGAAAAUCUAUAAGGUAGGAGAAUGUGUUUUGUUAAAGGCAAAAAGAGAAUAAUUUUUGUCCUAAAAUAGAAUGGCAUUGUUCCACAGUGAGAAAAAAAGUAUAGGGAAAAAAAAAACCCCGAAUGGAUAUAAGAAAACUGUAGGAUGCUUGUAAAAGUAGAAUCAUGGGAAAGGAAUUAUAUGUGUGAUCAAAUUCCUAAUAUUUGCUAAUAUUUGAAGGGAAUUAAGUUGCUUUUAAAUUCUAACAUUAAUAUCAAAAGUACGCUGAUACAAAACUAGAAUGUGGUCCUCUGUGUUAAAACAGCAAGGUUUUCUUGGAGUUCUAGUCUGCUCUUAAUAAGAUAGGGUAAAAGGUUUUUCUUUACCUUU